RNAcentral lists this ribosomal RNA (524 nucleotides) under uncultured bacterium. RNAcentral describes it as "bacterial SSU rRNA". It matches the Rfam family "Bacterial small subunit ribosomal RNA", at positions 8 to 526 of the family's 1533-position model. The record is from RNAcentral.
AGAGUUUGAUCCUGGCUCAGGACGAACGCUGGCGGCGCGCUUAACACAUGCAAGUCGAGCGAGAACCAGGCCUUCGGGCCUGGGGAAAGCGGCGAACGGGUGAGUAACACGUGGGUAACCCACCCUUGGUACUGGGAUAGCCCGGGGAAACCCGGAUUAAUACCGGAUGGCCCAACAGCUCUUCGGGGCGGUUGGAAAAGGGAGCUUCGGCCUCCGACCAAGGACGGGCCCGCGGCGGAUUAGCUUGUUGGUGGGGUAACGGCCCACCAAGGCGACGAUCCGUAGCUGGUCUGAGAGGAUGGCCAGCCACGUUGGGACUGAGAGACGGCCCAGACUCCUACGGGAGGCAGCAGUGGGGAAUCUUGCGCAAUGGCCGAAAGGCUGACGCAGCGACGCCGCGUGGGGGAGGAAGGCCUUCGGGUUGUAAACCCCUGUUGCCCGGGACGAAUGCGCUUGAUUGCAGGCGUUGACGGUACCGGGUGAGGAAGCACCGGCUAACUCCGUGCCAGCCGCCGCGGUAAUAC